Molecule: long non-coding RNA, 434 nt
Organism: Brassica rapa (field mustard)
Lineage: Eukaryota; Viridiplantae; Streptophyta; Magnoliopsida; Brassicales; Brassicaceae
Source: RefSeq, a predicted model, not a curated record
UUGUUGACACGCGUAGGCACUUGAGAGAUCAGAGGAGGUGUGUUCCUUCUUCGUCGUUUAUCUCUUCUCUCUCUCGCGCGAAAGUUCUCUCCCGGUUGGAACCUCCAAUCCGACGACAGCACGAAGAGACGAGAUGAAGCUUCGGAGGAGACGAGAAGCUUCGGAGGAGAGCUGAGAUGAAGCUGCGGAGGAGAGAGCUUCCGGUAGUGAAAGCGGGUUGGAUUGUAUCGAUGGUGAUCCUGUUAAAGAUUUAAUGUUGAAGCAAGUUGGCAAUUAAAACGAGUGGCCUGUUGUUGUUCAAUUAAAAUUAAGUUGAAACCGUGUGGCCUGUUCUUGUUCUUGUUGUUCUGUUAUUGUUGUUCUGUUAUAUAAGCAAACGUUGUUGUUCUGUUCUUGUUCUUGUUGUUCUUAAUUUAGGGUUCUUUUAUAUGUUU